CCUACGGUGGGCAGCAGUGAGGAAUAUUGGUCAAUGGGCUUACGCCUGAACCAGCCAAGUCGCGUGAGGGAAGACUGCCCUAUGGGUUGUAAACCUCUUUUGUCAGGGAGCAACGCCGGCUACGUGUAGCCGGACUGAGAGUACCUGAAGAAAAAGCAUCGGCUAACUCCGUUCCAGCAGCCGCGGUAAUACGGAGGAUGUGAGCGUUAUCCGGAUUUAUUGGGGUUAAGGGGUGCUAAGGGGGAAUGCCAAGUCAGCGGUAAAAGCUCGGGGCUCAACCUCGCUCCGCCGUUGAAACUGGCGUUCUUGAGUGGGCGAGAAGUAUGCGGAAUGCGUGGUGUAGCGGUGAAAUGCAUAGAUAUCACGCAGAACUCCGAUUGCGAAGGCAGCAUACCGGCGCCCAACUGACGCUGAAGCACGAAAGCGUGGGUAUCGAACAGGAUUAGAUACCCUUGUAGUC
This 460-nucleotide ribosomal RNA is filed under the name uncultured bacterium. RNAcentral's name for it is "partial 16S ribosomal RNA". It matches the Rfam family "Bacterial small subunit ribosomal RNA", at positions 338 to 795 of the family's 1533-position model. The record is from RNAcentral.